UUGCAGUUGAAAAGCUCGUAGUUGGAUUUCUGGCGGAGUGUCCUCCGGCUGACAGUUCGUUUGGUCCGGAGCGCUCCACCAUCCUUCUGUUAACCGUCACGGGAUUUACUUCCCGAGUCGGGGCUCAGAUAUUUUACCUUGAGAAAAUUAGAGUGUUUCAGGCAGGCUAGCGCCGGAAUACAUUAGCAUGGAAUAAUGGAAAAGGACUUCAACCUCUUCUGUUGGUCUGGGAGGCUGUAGUAAUGAUUAAUAGGGAUAGUUGGGGGCAUUAGUACUUGACUGUCAGAGGUGAAAUUCUCCGAUUUGUUAAAGACUAACUUAUGCGAAAGCAUUUGCCAAGGAUGUUUUCAUUAAUCAAGAACGAAAGUUAGGGGAUCAAAGACGAUCAGAUACCGUCCUAGUCUUAACCAUAAACUAUGCCGACUCGGGAUCGGAGGCACGCAAAAUCGGUCUUCGGCACCGUAUGAGAAAUCAAAGUCUUUGGGGUUCU
This 490-nucleotide ribosomal RNA is filed under the name uncultured marine eukaryote. Its description in RNAcentral is "bacterial SSU rRNA". It matches the Rfam family "Eukaryotic small subunit ribosomal RNA", at positions 613 to 1115 of the family's 1831-position model. The record is from RNAcentral.